UCUACAUUAAUUUUUAAUUUUAUAUUGCAUAAUAAAAAAUAAAUAUCUGUAGAGGUGAAAUACCACACGAAUUAUAUAAUAUCUGGUUUUUUCAAAAAGUAUUAGUACUUAAAUUUUUUGAAGGUUAAGCUUUAAAAAUAAAUUCUUCCACAAUUUCUUAUAUAUUAAAGAUUAAUAGUGUCUAAAAGUGUAACAACUAAUUUCACGACCUUAAUUUAAUACUAAUAUGAAAAUUAAAUUCAAUUUUAAAAAUGAUUUUAUUAGUAAAUAAUUUAUUUUUAUACUUUAAUUAAAAAUUUCUACAACUAUAAAUUUAUCUUUAUCUUAUGAACUAGGCCCUUAUUUAUUGACUGUUUAUCAAAAACAUUUCUAAAUGUAAUUAUAUUUAGUAAGACCUGCUCAAUGAUAAUUAAAUUGCGGCAAUUUAAAUGUCCUAAGGUAGCAUAAUCAUUUGCCUUUUAAUUAAAGGCUAGAAUGAAUGGUUUAACAUAUAAAUAUCUUUAUUAUUCAAAUAUAUUAAAAUUUUCCUAAAAGUAAAAAGACUUUUAUAAAAUAGGAGGACGACAAGACCCUAUUGAGCUUCACUUUAGUUGAACUGGGGCGGUAAAAAAUAAAAUCUUUAUAAAUUUAUCUAAAAACUUUAAAUAAAAUUAACAAGUUACCAUAGGGAUAACAGCAUAAUUUUUUCCUAAAGUCCUUAUAAAAGAAAAAGAUUAUGACCUCGAUGUUGAAUUAAUUUAUC
Molecule: ribosomal RNA, 742 nt
Filed under: Aptostichus simus (California dune trapdoor spider)
Lineage: Eukaryota; Metazoa; Arthropoda; Arachnida; Araneae; Euctenizidae
Description: partial 16S ribosomal RNA
Rfam family: Bacterial large subunit ribosomal RNA (bases 348-489)
Source: RNAcentral